RNAcentral lists this ribosomal RNA (1300 nucleotides) under Dicraeus orientalis. RNAcentral's name for it is "16S ribosomal RNA". The stretch from base 1049 to 1208 matches the Rfam family "Archaeal large subunit ribosomal RNA", at positions 2544 to 2703 of the family's 2987-position model. The record is from RNAcentral. Lineage: Eukaryota; Metazoa; Arthropoda; Insecta; Diptera; Chloropidae.
UAACUAUUUAUUUUAUUAAAAAUAAUUAUAAAAAUUUUAGUUUUAGUAUUGUAUAAAGAACAAAUAUAUUUAAUUAUAGUUUAUUAGUAUUGUAAAAUAAAAUUGAAAUAAUUUGAAAAAUUUUUAUUAAAUAAGUAAAUUUAAUUUAUUGUACCUUGUGUAUCAGGGUUUAUUAAAUAAAAAAUAAAUAUUUAUUUAUCUCGAAUUUAAAAGAUUUAAUAAAUUAUAAAAGUUAUUGUGAUAAAAUUAUUUUUAAUAAUUUAUUUGAAAUGAAAAGUUAUUCGUUUUUAAAUAUAUCUAGUUUUUUAAGAAAUAAAUUUAAUUUAAAAUUUUAAAAUGUAUUAUAUUUAUUUAAAAAUAUAAUAUUAUUUAAAAUUAAAUAUUUUAUGGGAUAAGCUGUAAAAUAAAUUUUUAAAAAUUAUUAAAUAAUUUAUAUAAAUAUAUGUUUAGAAUUAGCAAUUAUUUAUAAUUUUGUUAUAAAUUAUUUAUAAAAAUUAAUUAUUUAUUAUAAUUUUAAAUAUUUAUUAAAAUGUUUAUUUUAAUAUUUUAAAUAAAUUAAUAAUGAUAAAAUUAGUAUAUAUUUAUUUAAAAAUAAUUUAAAGUGAUAAGUUUAUGUAAAGAAUUCGGCAAAAUUAAUGUCCGCCUGUUUAACAAAAACAUGUCUUUUUGAAAUCAAUAAAAAGUCUAACCUGCCCAUUGAUAAUUAUUUAACGGCCGCAGUAUAUUAACUGUGCAAAGGUAGCAUAAUCAUUAGUUUUUUAAUUGAAAGCUGGAAUGAAUGGUUGGACGAGAUAUUAACUGUUUCAUAUAAAUUUUUUAUAGAAUUUAAUUUUUUAAUUAAAAAGUUAAAAUAUUUUUAAAAGACGAGAAGACCCUAUGAAUCUUAAUAUUUAAUAUUUAAUAGAUUUUUUAGAUUUAUUUUAUUUGUUAUUUAUUAAAUAUUUUAUUGGGGUGAUAGUAAAAUUUAAUAAACUUUUAUUAUAAUUUUUACAUUAAUUUAUGAAUUAUUGAUCCAUUAAUAAUGAUUAAAAAUUUAAGUUACUCUAGGGAUAACAGCGUAAUAUUUUUGGAGAGUUCUUAUUGAUAAAAAUGAUUGCGACCUCGAUGUUGGAUUAAGGAAUAAUUUUAGGUGUAGAAGCUUAAAUUUUAAGUCUGUUCGACUUUUAAACCCUUACAUGAUCUGAGUUCAAACCGGUGUGAGCCAGGUUGGUUUCUAUCUUUAAUAAAUUAAAAUAUUUUAGUACGAAAGGAGUAAAUAUUUGAAUAAUAGUAUUUUAAAAAUUGAAUAUAAUUAAUAUUU